GAGUUUGAUCCUGGCUCAGGAUGAACGCUGGCGGCGUGCUUAACACAUGCAAGUCGAACGAAGUUAUAGGAGAGCUUGCUCUAAUAUAACUUAGUGGCGGACGGGUGAGUAACGUGUGGGCAACCUACCUUUUACAGGGGAAUAAUCACUGGAAACGGUGACUAAUACCGCAUAAUAGUAUUACAAGGCAUCUUGUGAUAGGGAAAGGAGUAAUCCGGUAAAAGAUGGGCCCGCAUCUGAUUAGAUAGUUGGUGAGAUAACAGCCCACCAAGUCAACGAUCAGUAGCCGACCUGAGAGGGUGACCGGCCACAUUGGGACUGAGACACGGCCCAAACUCCUACGGGAGGCAGCAGUGGGGAAUAUUGCACAAUGGGGGAAACCCUGAUGCAGCAACGCCGCGUGAAGGAAGAAGGGUUUCGGCUCGUAAACUUCUAUCGAUAGGGACGAAAGAGAUGACGGUACCUAAAUAAGAAGCCCCGGCUAACUACGUGCCAGCAGCCGCGGUAAUACGUAGGGGGCAAGCGUUAUCUGGAAUUACUGGGUGUAAAGGGAGCGUAGGCGGCAAGGUAAGUAAGAUGUGAAAGCCCGCAGCUUAACUGCGAGGAUUGCAUUUUAAACUAUCUAGCUUGAGUACAGGAGAGGUAAGCGGAAUUCCUAGUGUAGCGGUGAAAUGCGUAGAUAUUAGGAAGAACACCAGUGGCGAAGGCGGCUUACUGGACUGUAACUGACGC
RNAcentral lists this ribosomal RNA (732 nucleotides) under uncultured bacterium. RNAcentral describes it as "bacterial SSU rRNA". It matches the Rfam family "Bacterial small subunit ribosomal RNA", at positions 9 to 746 of the family's 1533-position model. The record is from RNAcentral.